GGGGGGAGAGGUCAGUGGUAGAAUACACGUGCUUAGCAUGCACGAGGUCCUGGGUUCAAUCCCCAGUACCUCCA
This 74-nucleotide transfer RNA is filed under the name Camelus bactrianus (Bactrian camel). It matches the Rfam family "tRNA". Rfam says of the family: Transfer RNA (tRNA) molecules are approximately 80 nucleotides in length. Their secondary structure includes four short double-helical elements and three loops (D, anti-codon, and T loops). Further hydrogen bonds mediate the characteristic L-shaped molecular structure. tRNAs have two regions of fundamental functional importance: the anti-codon, which is responsible for specific mRNA codon recognition, and the 3' end, to which the tRNAs corresponding amino acid is attached (by aminoacyl-tRNA synthetases). tRNAs cope with the degeneracy of the genetic code in two manners: having more than one tRNA (with a specific anti-codon) for a particular amino acid; and 'wobble' base-pairing, i.e. permitting non-standard base-pairing at the 3rd anti-codon position. RNAcentral also lists the same sequence under 1 other name. Lineage: Eukaryota; Metazoa; Chordata; Mammalia; Artiodactyla; Camelidae. The record is from Rfam by way of RNAcentral.